UUUAACUUAGUGAAAUUCCAUCACGUCGGACUUUCAAGCCGAAAACACUAAUCUUAGUAGUUAAUU
This 66-nucleotide transfer RNA is filed under the name Physunio superbus. RNAcentral describes it as "tRNA-Glu". Lineage: Eukaryota; Metazoa; Mollusca; Bivalvia; Unionida; Unionidae. The record is from RNAcentral.